Long non-coding RNA from Oreochromis aureus, 673 nucleotides. NCBI's taxonomy places the organism in Eukaryota, Metazoa, Chordata, Actinopteri, Cichliformes, Cichlidae. The record is from Ensembl.
GCAUCUAAAAGCUGCGGGAUUGUAGCUCUCGAGGACUGGGAUUGGGCACCCCUGCUUUAGACUCUUGAACAAAAGGCAGAAAAGAUCAUUGGGUUUGCAUCAGAGUAGCUGGUGGUGGAGAGCCAUGCGGUGUCUAAAUUGUAUGGCUGGAGUCUAUCACACCUGUCACAGGGUAAGAGGCAGGGUACACCUGGGACAAGUUGCCAGCUCACAACAGCUUUAAUAUAUAUCUGUUUAAUCUGGAUAUUGGCAAAAGCACUACAAAAGAAACCUUCAUCUGUGCAGCUACCUCUCUCAGCAUCCCAGCAGAGGAGACAUAGUUGCUGCAUUGGAAUGAAGACUUCUAUUUGACAUUGAUGCACCUUUGUGGUAUUAUAUGCAAAUUGACUGGGAUAAAGGCGGAGGCUGUUUGAUGUGCAAAUGAUGAAUUUGGGGCACUGAAAAUGUGCAUACCACUGCUUUUCUGUUAAUUGCCUUCCCCGUGGAGUCCUGAAAGUUUAUUAGAAAAAGAAUGAAUGUUAGCAUACAGAGAACAGUUUUUGGAUAUCACACUUUAAACCAGUGAAGGAUGUAGUUUAUUCAAAAUCACAACUCUGAAUAAAAUCAUAUGCUGUAAUUUCAGAGUUUUCCUUUUUUUUUUUUUUUUUUGUCAACCAGAGUCCAUGUCUUACAG